GCCCCUAUAGCUCAGUGGUAGAGCACCCGCUUAGUAAGCGGGAGGUCGGUAGUUCAAUCCUGCCUGGGGGCA
Transfer RNA from Phytophthora infestans T30-4, 72 nucleotides. It matches the Rfam family "tRNA". Rfam says of the family: Transfer RNA (tRNA) molecules are approximately 80 nucleotides in length. NCBI's taxonomy places the organism in Eukaryota, Oomycota, Peronosporomycetes, Peronosporales, Peronosporaceae. The record is from Rfam.